Molecule: ribosomal RNA, 836 nt
Filed under: Juncaceicola alpina
Lineage: Eukaryota; Fungi; Ascomycota; Dothideomycetes; Pleosporales; Phaeosphaeriaceae
Also listed under: 1 other name
Description: eukaryotic LSU rRNA
Rfam family: Eukaryotic large subunit ribosomal RNA
Source: RNAcentral
GGGAUUGCCCUAGUAACGGCGAGUGAAGCGGCAACAGCUCAAAUUUGAAAUCUGGCUCUUUUAGGGUCCGAGUUGUAAUUUGCAGAGGGUGCUUUGGUGUUGGCAGCGGUCCAAGUUCUUUGGAACAGGACGUCACAGAGGGUGAGAAUCCCGUACGUGGUCGCUAGCCCUCGCCGUGUAAAGCCCCUUCGACGAGUCGAGUUGUUUGGGAAUGCAGCUCUAAAUGGGAGGUAAAUUUCUUCUAAAGCUAAAUACUGGCCAGAGACCGAUAGCGCACAAGUAGAGUGAUCGAAAGAUGAAAAGCACUUUGGAAAGAGAGUCAAAUAGCACGUGAAAUUGUUGAAAGGGAAGCGCUUGCAGCCAGACUUGCCUGUAGUUGCUUAUCCGGACUUUUGUCCGGUGCACUCUUCUGCGGGCAGGCCAGCAUCAGUUUAGGCGGUUGGAUAAAGGUCUCUGUCAUGUACCUCUCUUCGGGGAGGCCUUAUAGGGGAGACGACAUGCAACCAGCCUGGACUGAGGUCCGCGCAUCUGCUAGGAUGCUGGCGUAAUGGCUGUAAGCGGCCCGUCUUGAAACACGGACCAAGGAGUCUAACAUCUAUGCGAGUGUUUGGGUGUCAAGCCCAGACGCGUAAUGAAAGUGAACGGAGGUGGGAACCCUUACGGGUGCACCAUCGACCGAUCCUGAUGUCUUCGGAUGGAUUUGAGUAAGAGCAUGGCUGUUGGGACCCGAAAGAUGGUGAACUAUGCUUGAAUAGGGUGAAGCCAGAGGAAACUCUGGUGGAGGCUCGCAGCGGUUCUGACGUGCAAAUCGAUCGUCAAAUUUGGGCAUAGGGGCG